GACGAACGCUGGCGGCGUGCCUAAUACAUGCAAGUAGAACGCUGAAGGAGGAGCUUGCUCUUCUGGAGGAUUUCCGAACGGGUAAGUAACGGGAAGGUAACCGGCCUGGUAGGGGGGGAUAACUAUUGGAAAGGAAACUUAAUACCGCAUAACAGAAGAGGUUGCAUGACAUUUACUUAAAAGUUGCAAUUGAAUCACUACAAAAUGGACCUGCGUUGUAUUAGCUAGUUGGUGGGGUAACGGCCCACCAAGGCGACGAUACAUAGCCGACCUGAGAGGGUGAUCGGCCACACUGGGACUGAGACACGGCCCAGACUCCUACGGGAGGCAGCAGUAGGGAAUCUUCGGCAAUGGACGGAAGUCUGACCGAGCAACGCCGCGUGAGUGAAGAAGGGUUUCGGAUCGUAAAGCUCUGUUGUAAGAGAAGAACGAGUGUGAGAGUGGAAAGUUCACACUGUGACGGUAUCUUACCAGAAAGGGACGACUAACUACGUG
This 495-nucleotide ribosomal RNA is filed under the name uncultured bacterium. RNAcentral's name for it is "partial 16S ribosomal RNA". It matches the Rfam family "Bacterial small subunit ribosomal RNA", at positions 28 to 507 of the family's 1533-position model. The record is from RNAcentral.